RNAcentral lists this ribosomal RNA (381 nucleotides) under uncultured eukaryote. RNAcentral's name for it is "partial 18S ribosomal RNA". It matches the Rfam family "Eukaryotic small subunit ribosomal RNA", at positions 592 to 976 of the family's 1831-position model. The record is from RNAcentral.
CAAUAGCGUAUAUUAAAGUUGUUGCGGUAAAAAAGCUCGUAGUUGGAUUUCUACCGAAGAUAGCCGGUCGGGUCUUCGACCUUGUAUCUGGUUUUGUCUUUGGUAUCCUCAUAGGGAACGUUUCGGCGCUUUAUUGCGUGGUGCGGUAUCUAUGACUUUUACUUUGAGGAAAUUAGAGUGUUCACGGCAGGCAAACGCCUUGAAUAUAUUAGCAUGGAAUAAUAACAUAGGAUCUUCGUCCUAUUUUGUUGGUUUCUAGGGCUAAGAUAAUGAUUAAUAGGGAUAAUUGGGGGCAUCUGUAUCAACGCGUCAGAGGUGGAAUUCUUGGAUUGCGUUGCGACAAACUACUGCGAAAGCAUUUGCCAAGGAUGUUUUCAUUGA